RNAcentral lists this ribosomal RNA (253 nucleotides) under uncultured bacterium. Its description in RNAcentral is "partial 16S ribosomal RNA". It matches the Rfam family "Bacterial small subunit ribosomal RNA", at positions 524 to 776 of the family's 1533-position model. The record is from RNAcentral.
UACAGAGGUCUCAAGCGUUGUUCGGAUUCAUUGGGCGUAAAGGGUGCGUAGGCGGCGCGGUAAGUCGGGUGUGAAAUCUCGGAGCUUAACUCCGAAACUGCAUUCGAUACUGCCGUGCUUGAGGACUGGAGAGGAGACUGGAAUUUACGGUGUAGCGGUGAAAUGCGUAGAUAUCGUAAGGAAGGCCGGUGGCGAAAGCGAGCCUCUGGACAGUUACUGACGCUGAGGCGCGAAAGCCAGGGGAGCAAACGGG